GUCCACGCCCUAAACGAUGUCAACUGGUUGUUGGGAGGGUUUCUUCUCAGUAACGAAGCUAACGCGUGAAGUUGACCGCCUGGGGAGUACGGCCGCAAGGUUGAAACUCAAAAGGAAUUGACGGGGACCCGCACAAGCGGUGGAUGAUGUGGUUUAAUUCGAUGCAACGCGAAAAACCUUACCUACCCUUGACAUGUCUGGAAUCCUGAAGAGAUUUUGGAGUGCUCGAAAGAGAGCCAGAACACAGGUGCUGCAUGGCCGUCGU
This 265-nucleotide ribosomal RNA is filed under the name uncultured bacterium. RNAcentral's name for it is "partial 16S ribosomal RNA". It matches the Rfam family "Bacterial small subunit ribosomal RNA", at positions 793 to 1055 of the family's 1533-position model. The record is from RNAcentral.